AAUUUACAAUUUUCCCAUUCCGCAGUGUUUCUAAAGCCCAUUUGUAAAACCCGUUCAUGUUCAUUUCCAAAGCAAGAACCACAGCACAACAUAGAAAUAUAGGACUAGCCCUACACACCACUACCACCGUCGUUCUCGAUCACUUGAACCACAACAACCACCAUAGUCACCACCUUCAUACCAGAGCCGCUGCCGUCAAUCCAACCACCUCCCAAUCGCAACUAGAAACUUAACUGGAACCACCACAAAUCCACUCAAAUCACGGCCACUGCCAUCACCCAUAGCCAAUCAAACCACCACCGAACCCACGGAUGAGGAGAGAGAUAAAAGGAGAGCGUGGCCUUGGACUCGAUGAACUCGGACAUGGACUCGAGAUUCGACUGACGAGUGAAUUCGUAAUCAGACAAUGAGGUUGGGACUGCCGAACAGGGUAAACUUUUGAAUUUCAAAUUCUCUUCCCUCUAAAGAAAGUCUCAUGUGAAUAGAAAGCCCACCAAGUGUUUGCAAAAUGCCCGUGAGAGCCUCCGUAGCCAAGGCAGCACAACAGAGCACAACUCUCCGAAGGUCUCCUAGAUUUCUCCACCACCAGAAAACUCAAGAACCAGAGCUGUCCACCGCCACUCUCCCGAAAUCUCAGAGACUUGUCUGCCUGGAAAAGAGCGCUGCGGAGUCUGAAAACCCGAGAACCCCCAAAUCCACAGCCAGAAGCAACCGUGUCGUACGUUCAUUGAGUCUCCCACUUAGCUCUAAGAAUUCGAGUGAAUCUCACGAUGGGCCGAGAAGAUCUCCGAGAUUGAACAAUGGGGUUGAGGCGUUUCAGAGGCUUAGACGUUCUUCAAGGAUUUUGAACAAGCAGCUCGUCCUUGUUGAUGAAGGUAAGGGUCCCUCAAAACAAAUAUCGAAGAAAUUGGGCAAAUUGGAAAAUGGGUCGGGUAAUUGCGGAAAUUUGAGUUCUGGGUCAGCAAAAUGUCGAAGAAAAUCUGUCAGGUUCUGUAUUGAGCAAUCUAUUGUGAAUCAAUGCACUGAUAAGGCAACUGGGUCUAGAUCUAAGAGUGGAAAAAAUAGGUCAUUGAAGAAAGAGGAGUUCUCAAGUGUUGGAAAAGAUGGAGCUUGUAUUGAUUCAUCUGAAAGAGUUUCGAAAGAGUGCAAAAUGCAAGAGAUAGAUGGUGUAAAUAAAGAAGUGGGGGUUAGGAGGAAGAGAAAGAGGGAGGAGGAAAAUGGAAAGAGGGAGGAAGAAGGUGUUGGGGUUGUUCAAGGGUGGACAAAGGAACAAGAAUUCGCAUUGCAGAGAGCUUAUUUAAUAGCAAAGCCAACACCCUACUUCUGGAAGAAGGUUUCCAAACUGGUGCCUGGGAAAUCUGCACAGGAGUGCUUUGAUAGAGUCCAUUCUGAGCAUAGAACUCCACCUCAACCUCAUACCCGGUCGAGGGCAAGCACAUUAACAAAUUCAUCCCCCCUUGGACAGUUUUCACUCUCUGCAAGUAAACUGCUUAAACCCAGUGAGCCAAAGUCUAAAAGGCAAGAAUGCAGUAAGCAGAGGAGGCAUGUUGCCCAGAAAACAGUCCGACAAUUAUUACAAAAACAUAAUCAAGUGUACCAAGAUUAUGAGGGAGAUCUAUUUUGGGUACUCGAGCCCAGUCUAGGUUCACCUAGUGAGAGUCAUGCGAGUGUUAUACCUUCUACCCCAAAAAACUUACAGGAAAAGAAGAAAAUUCUUCAGAAUCGCAGUCAAAGAUCUUCUUCAGGUCAUAAGAAGCGGCUGUUGAGAUUUAGUAGCUCAUGUGGUAAACCUCUCGUUAGCCCCCGGGUAUUGAAGCAAGUCAGAAACAAGGUCCGGCAUGAGAAAUAUAUAGACCAAUUACAUACCAGGGAAGCGAAGAGAAAAGCAGCAUCUACGCGCACUCAGCAAUCCACUUCUGGAAUUGGUGAAGUGGAUGCGGUGAGAACUGCAAAAAUUGCCCUGGUUUCUGAUGCAAGAGAUGCUAUCAAUAAACUCCAACAUCUGCAGGCCAAUGUCACCGGCGACUCUUCUGAUUUCGACGAUGGUGGCAUUAUAAGUGAUGACGAGGAGGGUGAAGAUGAUACUUAGAACUUUAGCUAAACACAUAUCUUAGAAGUAACAAAAUGGAAGACACUGAUGGCGAAAUUUCAACCUGUGAAUUCGAAUCGCAUUCAAAACAAAGCUUGUCGAGAGAGCGUCGCCUUUAACAUAACACUCAUACCGACGAAACAAACCUUGAUUAUCAUUGGAAGUAAGGGAUUGCGUCCAAUUAAGCAAUCGAAGAGACGUCAAACGGAUCCCGGCACCCAAAAUCCAAGCAAAUGAUUGGAAUCGUUCGCUCAUUUAUCAAACGUGUGCCCUCCUCAUCUCGUCACAACAUUGUGUCUGGUGAAAGGAAAAAACAUCAAAUGUUUUGGCACUAAGUCUUGUGCAUGAUGGGAAAAGAAUAUUUGAUGACAUCCUAUGAGCAAGAUAUGGUUUUUUUUUGUGUUGGUCAAUGGAAUUCUUCAGGUUGCUGUCAUGGUUUCUGUGUAGUUUUAUCGUUGCUGGCACUUUAGACAUU
Malus domestica (apple) is the source of this 2564-nucleotide non-coding RNA. The record is from RefSeq and is a predicted model, not a curated record. Lineage: Eukaryota; Viridiplantae; Streptophyta; Magnoliopsida; Rosales; Rosaceae.